CUUUCCUUUUGGAUUUUGGUUCUUCUCAAUUAUUACAAGCAAAUCUGUGGUUGCUGGGAGGCCAGGAAGCCAUGGUUAAUUGAAAAAAUAGAGGUUGCACCUUCUUAGAAAGUGGAGUUCAUCUUGAAGAUUAUGUUCGGCUCCUUGUGGAGCACACUAUUAUUUGCUUCUGGAAAGCAAAGGUUUUGCUAGAGUCCUGCUUCUGGUCUGUACACUAUUGUGGCUGUGACGUUUGUGAAUAUGUGAUGACAAGGUCCUUCGAAACUUCGUA
Molecule: long non-coding RNA, 271 nt
Organism: Solanum verrucosum
Lineage: Eukaryota; Viridiplantae; Streptophyta; Magnoliopsida; Solanales; Solanaceae
Exons: 3
Source: RefSeq, a predicted model, not a curated record